RNAcentral lists this ribosomal RNA (1432 nucleotides) under uncultured organism. RNAcentral describes it as "16S ribosomal RNA". It matches the Rfam family "Bacterial small subunit ribosomal RNA". The record is from RNAcentral.
GCUUAACACAUGCAAGUCGAGGGGCAGCAUUUCAGUUUGCUUGCAAACUGGAGAUGGCGACCGGCGCACGGGUGAGUAACACGUAUCCAACCUGCCGAUAACUCGGGGAUAGCCUUUCUAAAGAAAGAUUAAUACCCGAUGGUAUAAUCAGACCGCAUGGUCUUGUUAUUAAAGAAUUUCGGUUAUCGAUGGGGAUGCGUUCCAUUAGGCAGUUGGUGAGGUAACGGCUCACCAAACCUUCGAUGGAUAGGGGUUCUGAGAGGAAGGUCCCCCACAUUGGAACUGAGACACGGUCCAAACUCCUACGGGAGGCAGCAGUGAGGAAUAUUGGGCAAUGGGCGCAGGCCUGAACCAGCCAAGUAGCGUGAAGGAUGACUGCCCUAUGGGUUGUAAACUUCUUUUAUAUGGGAAUAAAGUUUUCCACGUGUGGAAUUUUGUAUGUACCAUAUGAAUAAGGAUCGGCUAACUCCGUGCCAGCAACCGCGGGAAUACGGAGGAUCCGAGCGUUAUCCGGAUUUAUUGGGUUUAAAGGGAGCGUAUGUGGACAGUUAAGUCAGUUGUGAAAGUUUGCGGCUCAACCGUAAAAUUGCAGUUGAUACUGGCUGUCUUGAGUACAGUAGAGGUGGGCGGAAUUCGUGGUGUAGCGGUGAAAUGCUUAGAUAUCACGAAGAACUCCGAUUGCGAAGGCAGCUCACUGGACUGCAACUGACACUGAUGCUCGAAAGUGUGGGUAUCAAACAGGAUUAGAUGCCCUGGUAGUCCACACAGUAAACGAUGAAUACUCGCUGUUUGCGAUAUACAGUAAGCGGCCAAGCGAAAGCAUUAAGUAUUCCACCUGGGGAGUACGCCGGCAACGGUGAAACUCAAAGGAAUUGACGGGGGCCCGCACAAGCGGAGGAACAUGUGGUUUAAUUCGAUGAUACGCGAGGAACCUUACCCGGGCUUAAAUUGCAUUUGAAUAUAUUGGAAACAGUAUAGCCGUAAGGCAAAUGUGAAGGUGCUGCAUGGUUGUCGUCAGCUCGUGCCGUGAGGUGUCGGCUUAAGUGCCAUAACGAGCGCAACCCUUAUCUUUAGUUACUAACAGGUCAUGCUGAGGACUCUAGAGAGACUGCCGUCGUAAGAUGUGAGGAAGGUGGGGAUGACGUCAAAUCAGCACGGCCCUUACGUCCGGGGCUACACACGUGUUACAAUGGGGGGUACAGAAGGCAGCUACCUGGUGACAGGAUGCUAAUCCCAAAAGCCUCUCUCAGUUCGGAUCGAAGUCUGCAACCCGACUUCGUGAAGCUGGAUUCGCUAGUAAUCGCGCAUCAGCCACGGCGCGGUGAAUACGUUCCCGGGCCUUGUACACACCGCCCGUCAAGCCAUGAAAGCCGGGGGUACCUGAAGUACGUAAACGCAAGGAGCGUCCUAGGGUAAAACUGGUAAUUGGGGC